GAUGAACGCUGGCGGCAUGCUUUACACAUGCAAGUCGGACGGGAAGUGGUGUUUUCCGUGGCGGACGGGUGAGUAACGCGUAAGAACCUGCCCUUGGGAGGGGAACAACAGCUGGAAACGGCUGCUAAUACCCCGUAGGCUGAGGAGCGAAAGGAGGAAUCCGCCCAAGGAGGGGCUCGCGUCUGCUCAGCUAGUUGGUGCGGUAAUAGCUUACCAAGGCCGUGAUCAGUAGCUGGUCCGAGAGGAUGAUCAGCCACACUGGGACGGAGACAAGGCGCAGAGUCCUACGGGAGGCAGCAGUGAGGAAUUUUCCGCAAUGGGCGAAAGCCUGACGGAGCAAUGCCGCGUGGAGGUAAAUGGCCUACGGGUCAUGAACUGCUUGUCCUUAAGAAGAAACAAUGACGGUAUCUGGAGAAUAAGCAUCGGCUAACUCUGUG
Molecule: ribosomal RNA, 437 nt
Filed under: uncultured bacterium
Lineage: Bacteria
Description: partial 16S ribosomal RNA
Rfam family: Bacterial small subunit ribosomal RNA
Source: RNAcentral